This is a long non-coding RNA of Pongo pygmaeus (Bornean orangutan), 461 nucleotides long. RefSeq lists it as uncharacterized. The record is from RefSeq and is a predicted model, not a curated record. Lineage: Eukaryota; Metazoa; Chordata; Mammalia; Primates; Hominidae. The transcript has 3 exons.
AGGCCGCCCAGAUGCAGACCCCGGAACCCCAGACUCUACCCCCUUCACCUGGCUGGGCUCCCAGCCCAAUCCUGUACUGGAAUUCUGGGGGAAUAGAUCAAGGCGGGGCUGGAGUACAGUGGCGAGAUCUCCACUCACCACUACCUCGACCUCCUGGGCUCAAGUGAUCCUCCCCUCUCAGCCUCCAGAGUAGCUGGGACUACAGGCCUGACUGCAGUCGAAGUUGGAUUUGGUUCUUGGCCUGGGAGUCCAGACCGUGGCCACCGCUGACCAGCUUGGGUGUCCUCCGUAGCCAGCAGAGGCCUGGCUUGGGACGGGUGCUCAGGGGAGAUUGGGUGAAUGAAUGAACCCCCAAGAGCCCAUCUGUUGGGACCCAGAGUGUGGCCCUGGGCCCCUGACCUCUCCCCCAGCCACCCCAGCCCCUUCGGCCCUGACCUGGCUGGGUUCCCGGUCCGUUUCCA